Molecule: long non-coding RNA, 711 nt
Organism: Oreochromis aureus
Lineage: Eukaryota; Metazoa; Chordata; Actinopteri; Cichliformes; Cichlidae
Source: Ensembl
AAGAUUACAUGGACACAGAAUACGAGUAAAAUUUUUCCAUUACACCCUUCAGUCUUGACAAUCAGCAUUCCCGCAGUACACAUAUUGAAACAGCAUUGGCCAAUAGGAGAGGCUCACAGAGUAUAUAUGUAGGCAGCCUCAAUAACUCAGCGGAGAAUUAUGAAUCGCUUAGAGAAGAAAUGCAUCGAACAAUCGAGGAGAGGUGGUAGACAGGUGCGCUUAAUAAUAUCAGGAAUAGCUGGAAUUUCGUCUAUCUGCGGCCUUUUGACAAUCGAGUGGUUUAAUAUCCAUGGAGUCUGUGCUGGAGUCCUGCGCAUGGUACUCCAAGCUGUGAUGAGGCAGUGUUUUUCAGAGUUCACCUCAUCUGAAGAUGACUGGCUUACAACUUAUCAAGAUCAAUUACAGCCCAUCAUAGAAUUCAUCUUCAAUAAGGUGGUUGGAUACCUGGCAUAAUCAGAAGGCUGCAAACGGAAACCCAGAAUUUGACUUAUGGAAAUAGAAUAUAGAAUUCGGCUCAUGAAUAAUUUGACCUUUAUUUAAUAAAAGAAAAAUAAUAAUAAUAAACUGUGUGCUUCUUUUCUUCUUAUUAACAACAUUUACUGCUGGUGUUUAUACAUUUGAAGUAAAUUGUGUAAAGUGGUUUGAGGAUUUUAAAGCAGGAAAAUCAGAACCCACCAAAUGAAAUGAAAACUCAAUUUAAAACUCUGUUUU